UACGUAGGGACCAAGCGUUGUUCGGAUUUACUGGGCGUAAAGGGCGCGUAGGCGGCUUGACAAGUCACUUGUGAAAUCUCCGGGCUUAACUCGGAACGGCCAAGUGAAACUGUCAUGCUAGAGUGCAGAAGGGGCAAUCGGAAUUCUUGGUGUAGCGGUGAAAUGCGUAGAUAUCAAGAGGAACACCGGAGGUGAAGACGGGUUGCUGGGCUGACACUGACGCUGAGGCGCGAAAGCCAGGGGAGCAAACGGG
This 253-nucleotide ribosomal RNA is filed under the name uncultured bacterium. Its description in RNAcentral is "partial 16S ribosomal RNA". It matches the Rfam family "Bacterial small subunit ribosomal RNA", at positions 524 to 776 of the family's 1533-position model. The record is from RNAcentral.